GAUGAAGAACGCAGUGAAAUGCGAUACGUAAUGUGAAUUGCAGAAUUCAGUGAAUCAUCGAAUCUUUGAACGCACAUUGCGCUCUCUGGUAUUCCGGAGAGCAUGCUUGUUUGAGUAUCAGUAAACACCUCAACUCCUUUAUUGUAGUUGGACUUGAGCUAUCCCAACAGGACUUUUUGUUCCUGGCGGGAGGCUUGAAAUGCAGGUGCAGCUGGACUUUCUUCUGAGCUAUAAGCAUAUUUAUUUAAUCCCUUAACACGGAUUAUUACUUUUUUGCUGCAGCUAACAUAAAGGUUGAAUUUCCAUUGAGCUGACUGAUGCAGGAAUUUGGCAAGGAAUUUUUUUAAUGACUUGUUAAACUCGAUCUCAAAUCAAGUAAGACUACCCGCUGAACUUAAGCAUAUCAAUAAGCGGAG
RNAcentral lists this unclassified non-coding RNA (416 nucleotides) under soil metagenome. RNAcentral describes it as "partial contains 5.8S ribosomal RNA, internal transcribed spacer 2, and large subunit ribosomal RNA". The stretch from base 1 to 120 matches the Rfam family "5.8S ribosomal RNA", at positions 35 to 154 of the family's 154-position model. The record is from RNAcentral.